RNAcentral lists this ribosomal RNA (497 nucleotides) under uncultured bacterium. RNAcentral's name for it is "partial 16S ribosomal RNA". It matches the Rfam family "Bacterial small subunit ribosomal RNA", at positions 28 to 507 of the family's 1533-position model. The record is from RNAcentral.
GAUGAACGCUGGCGGCGUGCCUAAUACAUGCAAGUCGAGCGAACAGACGAGGAGCUUGCUCCUCUGACGUUAGCGGCGGACGGGUGAGUAACACGUGGAUAACCUACCUAUAAGACUGGGAUAACUUCGGGAAACCGGAGCUAAUACCGGAUAAUAUAUUGAACCGCAUGGUUCAAUAGUGAAAGACGGUUUUGCUGUCACUUAUAGAUGGAUCCGAGCCGCAUUAGCUAGUUGGUAAGGUAACGGCUUACCAAGGCAACGAUGCGUAGCCGACCUGAGAGGGUGAUCGGCCACACUGGAACUGGGACACGGUCCAGACUCCUACGGGAGGCAGCAGAAGGGAAUCGUCCGCAAUGGGCGGAAACCUGACGGAGCGACGGCGCGUGAGUGAUGAAGGUCUUCGGAUCGUAAAACUCUGUUAUUAGGGAAGAACAAAUUUGUAAGUAACUAUGCACGUCUUGACGGUAACUAAUCAGAAAGCCACGGCUAACUACGUG